This 495-nucleotide ribosomal RNA is filed under the name uncultured bacterium. Its description in RNAcentral is "partial 16S ribosomal RNA". It matches the Rfam family "Bacterial small subunit ribosomal RNA", at positions 28 to 507 of the family's 1533-position model. The record is from RNAcentral.
GACGAACGCUGGCGGCGUGCCUAAUACAUGCAAGUCGAACGCUGAAGGAGGAGCUUGCUUCUCUGGAUGAGUUGCGAACGGGUGAGUAACGCGUAGGUAACCUGCCUGGUAGCGGGGGAUAACUAUUGGAAACGAUAGCUAAUACCGCAUAAUAGUAGAUGUUGCAUGACAUUUGCUUAAAAGGUGCAAUUGCAUCACUACCAGAUGGACCUGCGUUGUAUUAGCUAGUUGGUGGGGUAACGGCUCACCAAGGCGACGAUACAUAGCCGACCUGAGAGGGUGAUCGGCCACAAUGGGACUGAGACACGGCCCAGACUCCUACGGGAGGCAGCCGGAGGGAAUCUUCGGCAAAGGACGGAAGGCUGAACGAGCAACGCCGCGUGAGUGAAGAAGGGUUUCGGAUCGGAAAGCUCUGUUGUAAGAGAAGAACGAGUGUGAGAGUGGAAAGUUCACACUGUGACGGUAGCUUACCAGAAAGGGACGGCUAACUACGUG